GAUAUUCUAAUAAUAUAUAUUGAUACUGGAUCCCAUUUCGAAUUCCGGAGUAAAACAUAUAUAUUUCAUAUAUAGCAUAAAUGUUGUGAAACGUGAUUAUGGUAUU
This 106-nucleotide ribosomal RNA is filed under the name Plasmodiophora brassicae. Lineage: Eukaryota; Endomyxa; Phytomyxea; Plasmodiophorida; Plasmodiophoridae. The record is from RNAcentral.